RNAcentral lists this ribosomal RNA (253 nucleotides) under uncultured bacterium. RNAcentral describes it as "partial 16S ribosomal RNA". It matches the Rfam family "Bacterial small subunit ribosomal RNA", at positions 524 to 776 of the family's 1533-position model. The record is from RNAcentral.
UACGGGGGGGGCAAGCGUUGUUCGGAAUUACUGGGCGUAAAGGGCUUGUAGGUGGCCAACUAAGUCAGACGUGAAAUCCCUCGGCUUAACUGGGGAACUGCGUCUGAUACUGGAUGGCUGGAGUGUGGGAGAGGGAUGCGGAAUUCCAGGUGUAGCGGUGAAAUGCGUAGAUAUCUGGAGGAACACCGGUGGCGAAGGCGGCAUCCUGGACCAUUACUAACACUGAAAAGCGAAAGCCAGGGGAGCAAACGGG